Molecule: ribosomal RNA, 405 nt
Filed under: uncultured bacterium
Lineage: Bacteria
Description: bacterial SSU rRNA
Rfam family: Bacterial small subunit ribosomal RNA
Source: RNAcentral
GGAAUAUUGCGCAAUGGGGGGAACCCUGACGCAGCAACGCCGCGUGAAGGAGGAAGUAUUUCGGUAUGUAAACUUCUAUCAGCAGGGAAGAAGGAAGUGACGGUACCUGCAUAAGAAGCCCCGGCUAAUUACGUGCCAGCAGCCGCGGUAAUACGUAAGGGGCAAGCGUUAUCCGGAUUUACUGGGUGUAAAGGGUGAGUAGGCGGUUCGGCAAGUCAUAUGUGAAAUACCUGGGCUCAACCCAGGAACCGCAUAAGAAACUGUCGGACUUGAGUACAGGAGAGGUAAGCGGAAUUCCCAGUGUAGCGGUGAAAUGCGUAGAUAUUGGGAAGAACACCGGUGGCGAAGGCGGCUUACUGGACUGAAACUGACGCUGAGUCACGAAAGCGUGGGGAGCGAACAGGA